GUUACAUUCGCAGCCAUACUAACUAGUGCUGGCGUUGGUUUCUUUGCUAAAUUGAUGUAUCUAUUGAUCUUCAUGAUCUUCUAUCUUCUAGACGAGAUCGUCAUCUUCUUAAUUGGCGCAUGGACAUUACGACUAUGGGUUGGUGGUCAAAAAAUCACUGGCAACUACCCCUGGUUCAGGCAAUUGUCUUCUUGGCUCUU
This 200-nucleotide ribosomal RNA is filed under the name uncultured eukaryote. Its description in RNAcentral is "partial 18S ribosomal RNA". The record is from RNAcentral.